This 253-nucleotide ribosomal RNA is filed under the name uncultured bacterium. RNAcentral describes it as "partial 16S ribosomal RNA". It matches the Rfam family "Bacterial small subunit ribosomal RNA", at positions 524 to 776 of the family's 1533-position model. The record is from RNAcentral.
UACGUAGGGUGCAAGCGUUGUCCGGAAUUAUUGGGCGUAAAGAGCUCGUAGGCGGCCUGUUGCGUCCGCUGUGAAAGCCCGGGGCUUAACCCCGGGUCUGCAGUGGAUACGGGCAGGCUAGAGGUAGGUAGGGGAGAAUGGAAUUCCCGGUGUAGCGGUGAAAUGCGCAGAUAUCGGGAGGAACACCGGUGGCGAAGGCGGGUCUCUGGGCCGAUACUGACGCUGAGGAGCGAAAGCAUGGGUAGCGAACAGG